UACAGAGGGUGCGAGCGUUAAUCGGAAUUACUGGGCGUAAAGCGUGCGCAGGCGGUUCGUUAUGUCCGAUGUGAAAGCCCCGAGCUUAACUUGGGAAUGGCAUUGGAAACUGGCGGGCUGGAGUGCGGCAGAGGGGGGUGGAAUUCCACGUGUAGCAGUGAAAUGCGUAGAGAUGUGGAGGAACACCGAUGGCGAAGGCAGCCCCCUGGGCCGACACUGACGCUCAGGCACGAAAGCGUGGGGAGCAAACAGG
This 253-nucleotide ribosomal RNA is filed under the name uncultured bacterium. RNAcentral describes it as "partial 16S ribosomal RNA". It matches the Rfam family "Bacterial small subunit ribosomal RNA", at positions 524 to 776 of the family's 1533-position model. The record is from RNAcentral.